CAAGCCCUGGAAACGGGGUCUAAUACCGGAUACGACAUGAGGGGGCAUCUUCUCGUGUGGAAAGCUCCGGCGGUGCAGGAUGAGCCCGCGGCCUAUCAGCUUGUUGGUGGGGUAAUGGCCUACCAAGGCGACGACGGGUAGCCGGCCUGAGAGGGCGACCGGCCACACUGGGACUGAGACACGGCCCAGACUCCUACGGGAGGCAGCAGUGGGGAAUAUUGCACAAUGGGCGCAAGCCUGAUGCAGCGACGCCGCGUGAGGGAUGACGGCCUUCGGGUUGUAAACCUCUUUCAGCAGGGAAGAAGCCUUCGGGUGACGGUACCUGUAGAAGAAGCACCGGCUAACUACGUGCCAGCAGCCGCGGUAAUACGUAGGGUGCGAGCGUUGUCCGGAAUUAUUGGGCGUAAAGAGCUCGUAGGCGGUUUGUCACGUCGGAUGUGAAAGCCCGGGGCUUAACUUCGGGUCUGCAUUCGAUACGGGCAGGCUAGAGUUCGGUAGGGGAGAUCGGAAUUCCUGGUG
RNAcentral lists this ribosomal RNA (519 nucleotides) under uncultured Streptomyces sp. Its description in RNAcentral is "bacterial SSU rRNA". It matches the Rfam family "Bacterial small subunit ribosomal RNA", at positions 144 to 675 of the family's 1533-position model. Lineage: Bacteria; Bacillati; Actinomycetota; Actinomycetes; Kitasatosporales; Streptomycetaceae. The record is from RNAcentral.